Molecule: small RNA, 125 nt
Filed under: Marmota monax (woodchuck)
Lineage: Eukaryota; Metazoa; Chordata; Mammalia; Rodentia; Sciuridae
Source: RNAcentral
GCUGGGCAUGGUGGAGCAUGCCUGUAAUCCCAGUAGCUCCAGAGGCGGAGGCAGGAGGAUCGCAAGUUCAAAGCCAGCCUCAGCAAAAGCAAGGUGCUAAGCAACUCAGUGAGACCCUGUCUCUA